CCGACACAAGAGGGGUGCCUUCGGGAAAAACGGACGCCGCACGGGAUUCACACCGCCGGCGGGCAGGUUCCACGCAAAGGCUGAGAUCACACCCUAUGAACUUGAUGCGGGCAACACCGACGAAAGGACUUGUUCAUAGACCGUA
This 145-nucleotide non-coding RNA is filed under the name Alistipes sp. Its description in RNAcentral is "TPP sequence". It matches the Rfam family "TPP riboswitch aptamer (THI element)". Rfam says of the family: Vitamin B(1) in its active form thiamin pyrophosphate (TPP) is an essential coenzyme that is synthesised by coupling of pyrimidine and thiazole moieties in bacteria. Lineage: Bacteria; Pseudomonadati; Bacteroidota; Bacteroidia; Bacteroidales; Rikenellaceae. The record is from RNAcentral.